Molecule: long non-coding RNA, 1033 nt
Filed under: Homo sapiens (human)
Lineage: Eukaryota; Metazoa; Chordata; Mammalia; Primates; Hominidae
Description: HSALNT0130589
Source: RNAcentral
GAAUGGUGUGAGGUGCUAUGGAAGUAAAGGUCUGUCGAGUGGGGUACAGCAUCGCAUGGUGGCCCUGGACUCACUGCAAGUCAGCAGGGCUGGAAAUCGGGAAAUAAAGACAGGGAAGCUCCUGGGGGUAAUCUUGAGACAGAUGAACCAAGUCUGGAGACCCACCUGCAAAGUUCCAGAGAUGACUUCAAGGUGGCGAGUCAACAGCCUCACCAUUGUUGAGAUGACACCAGCCCGUGAUCCAGCUUCCACACAACAGCCCUGAUGUUUACCAGCAGGCGUCUCUUGUUUAGUCUCAUUGUCUUUGGCAAGUUCAAUCUCAACCAGAUUGUUGUUCUUCUCAAGAGGACUGAUCCCAGCAGGCUCCAGCCCUAAAGCGGACUGUUCGGGAGAUCUGUGUUAACUUUGUGUUUCAGUCCUCAGUCUCACGGUACUGGGUCCUACCGUGAGCGGAAAAUCCCUCUCUACAUCAGAACAGCCUUCUGGCCAUGCUACAGUCCUCGCUCAGAAACACGGCACACCAUAUAUAAAUAUGAUGGAUAAGCAGUGAGUGUGUAAAGACCUUGUGACUACUGAAUGUUUUGUAAAAGGUACGUAUCCAAAAUAAUUAAAAUCAGGACCUCAAAGAACUAUCUGCACUUCCAUGUUCAUUGCAGCAUUAUUCAUAAUAGCCCAAAUGUGGAAACCAUCUAAAUGCUCAUUGACAGAUGAAUGGAUAAAGAAAAUGUGGCACAUAUAUACCAUCAAAUAUUAUUUAGCCUUAAUACAGCAGAAAAUCCUGCCAUAUGCAAAAACAUGACUGAACCUACAGGAUGUUAUGGUACCAAAACAUCAUGCCUCGAAAUCAUUCAGGAUGCAUCUUUUUAAAAAAUCUCAGUGAGCAACGCUAAAGAAGAGAGACCACAAGUUCUAGACGUUUUCCUGUAUAAUUAAGAAGAAUCUGUUCAACAAACCCCCAUGACAUAAGCUUAUCUAUAUAACAAACCUGCACAUGUGCCCCUGAACCUAAAAUAAAAGCUUUUUUAAAAAAGAA